CCUACGGGAGGCAGCAGUGGGGAAUUUUCCGCAAUGGGCGAAAGCCUGACGGAGCAAUACCGCGUGAGGGAGGAAGGCUCUUGGGUUGUAAACCUCUUUUCUCAGGGAAGAACAAAAUGACGGUACCUGAGGAAUAAGCAUCGGCUAACUCCGUGCCAGCAGCCGCGGUAAUACGGAGGAUGCAAGCGUUAUCCGGAAUUAUUGGGCGUAAAGCGUCCGCAGGUGGCAGUUCAAGUCUGCUGUCAAAGGUCAGGGCUCAACCCUGAACAGGCAGUGGAAACUGAACAGCUAGAGUGCGGUAGGGGCAGAGGGAAUUCCCAGUGUAGCGGUGAAAUGCGUAGAGAUUGGGAAGAACACCGGUGGCGAAAGCGCUCUGCUAGGCCUGCACUGACACUCAGGGACGAAAGCUAGGGGAGCGAAUGGGAUUAGAUACCCCAGUAGUCCUAGCCGUAAACGAUGGAUACUAGGCGUAGCUUGUAUCGACCCAAGCUGUGCCGUAGCUAACGCGUUAAGUAUCCCGCCUGGGGAGUACGCGCGCAAGCGUGAAACUCAAAUGAAUUGACG
Molecule: ribosomal RNA, 564 nt
Filed under: uncultured cyanobacterium
Lineage: Bacteria; Bacillati; Cyanobacteriota
Description: bacterial SSU rRNA
Rfam family: Bacterial small subunit ribosomal RNA
Source: RNAcentral